AAAAAGCGGAGGAAAAGAAACUAACAAGGAUUCCCCUAGUAGCGGCGAGCGAAGCGGGAAGAGCUCAAAUUUAUAAUCUGGCGCUUUCAGCGUCCGAGUUGUAAUCUCUAGAAGUGUUUUCCGCGUUGGACCGCACAUAAGUCUGUUGGAAUACAGCGGCACAGUGGUGAGACCCCCGUUCACGGUGCGGAUGCCCAAUGCUUUGUGAUACACUUUCGAAGAGUCGAGUUGUUUGGGAAUGCAGCUCAAAUUGGGUGGUAAAUUCCAUCUAAAGCUAAAUAUUGGCGAGAGACCGAUAGCGAACAAGUACCGUGAGGGAAAGAUGAAAAGCACUUUGGAAAGAGAGUUAACAGUACGUGAAAUUGUUGGAAGGGAAACGCUUGAAGUCAGACUUGCUAUUCGGGGCUUGCUCCGAGUUGCAGGCCAGCAUCAGUUUUUCGGGGCGGAAAAUCACGGAUUGAAGGUAGCAGUUUCGGCUGUGUUAUAGCUUUCCGUUGGAUACGUCCUGGGGGACUGAGGAACGCAGUGUGCUUUUAGCGAGGGCUUCGGCUCUUCACACUUAGGAUGCUGGAGUGAGGUU
This 580-nucleotide ribosomal RNA is filed under the name Rhodosporidiobolus ruineniae. Its description in RNAcentral is "eukaryotic LSU rRNA". It matches the Rfam family "Eukaryotic large subunit ribosomal RNA", at positions 45 to 638 of the family's 3401-position model. The record is from RNAcentral. Lineage: Eukaryota; Fungi; Basidiomycota; Microbotryomycetes; Sporidiobolales; Sporidiobolaceae.